Molecule: ribosomal RNA, 253 nt
Filed under: uncultured bacterium
Lineage: Bacteria
Description: partial 16S ribosomal RNA
Rfam family: Bacterial small subunit ribosomal RNA
Source: RNAcentral
UACGAAGGGGGCUAGCGUUGCUCGGAAUUACUGGGCGUAAAGGGCGCGUAGGCGGGUGUUUAAGUCAGAGGUCAAAUCCCAGAGCUCAACUCUGGAACUGCCUUUGAUACUGGACACCUAGAGUACGGGAGAGGUGUGUGGAACUCCGAGUGUAGAGGUGAAAUUCGUAGAUAUUCGCAAGAACACCAGUGGCGAAGGCGGCUCACUGGCCCGGUACUGACGCUGAGGUGCGAAAGCGUGGGGAGCAAACAGG